UGCUGCGAUCAAAAAUCAUUUUGAAAUUCAUACAUGCAACCUAUUCGAUUUCUUACAAUUUUUACUAUGAUGUAGCAAAAAUAAGAAAUUUAGUAGCAUCUAAUAAGAAAUGCCACAAGCACUUUAUUGCCAAAAAUCAUUUUUAUUGUAGUAACAUAUAUCUAUUUGAUAUGAAUUCCUAGGGCAUCUUGAAUCCUACAUUCCUAUGAGCCACCUACCUCAUUGAGCAGAUGGACUUCAAAGAGGAGAAGCAGAGAAAGAUCUAUCUAUUCUUGCAUUUUCUUUUUUUCCAAAGGAUCCUGUGCAACAAUCAUCAAUGGCUUCUUGGGGAUCUCAAGAUACAGAUACAAGUUCUUAUUUCCUUUCUUCGGCAAAGGUGUGGCUGGGAAUACCAUCUCAUUUCCAAGAAGGAUACAUUCUGACGAUGCAUAUUCAUUACUGGGUAUGACUGCGACUGCUCUAUUGGUGUUCUAACUUUACCUAAAGCUACCAUGAUUCAAUUAUUAACGUGUUCUAUUUGUUAUCCAGCAAGUAAUUAAAAGAAUUCCUGUUAGAAAUUGUAACAUAUAAUCUAAGGUAUACUGCAUUCCUACUUUGGUUGUGGUUGCAUAUUAUUUCUGUUAAUGUAUGCACCUUUGUUCAACCAUUUCUUCCCUGGUUAGCACACAUACUCUGAAAAAGCUGGGAUUGGUGCAAAUGGUGUUCAGUACAUAUAAAAAUCCGGGAUUGGUAAUUCCAGUCUACGACCAGUUGUUGCCGGAGGAAGCUGUUUAUGAUGGACGGUUGAUAGUUUCAAUUGUUACCCCUAGCCAAAAGAGUACUCUUCAACCUAGUAAUCCAUCUUGGCAAAUUUACAUCUACAGAAAUCAUUAGAACAUCCUUCUAAGGAAAACAUGUACAAGAGAAAUCCAGAAGUUUGUUCCCCCUUGUCCGUCCAAAGCAAUUAUUAAGUAGCAUUGAUGGCACAAAAUUCUAGUUUUGUGGAGCUUUCUAGUCUGUGUCUCAUGUCGAUGUAAUGCAUUGUCAUUUUAUAAA
Long non-coding RNA from Elaeis guineensis (African oil palm), 1035 nucleotides. RefSeq lists it as uncharacterized. The record is from RefSeq and is a predicted model, not a curated record. Lineage: Eukaryota; Viridiplantae; Streptophyta; Magnoliopsida; Arecales; Arecaceae.